Long non-coding RNA from Symphalangus syndactylus (siamang), 462 nucleotides. RefSeq lists it as uncharacterized. The record is from RefSeq and is a predicted model, not a curated record. Lineage: Eukaryota; Metazoa; Chordata; Mammalia; Primates; Hylobatidae.
AAGAUAGAGGCCUGUAGCAAAGUUUGUUACUGAAGAUUUUGUUGGGCUAGCUUGAUCAACAGGCUUAUGAGGUCCUGAGCCUGUAUCCUAACCUAAGAUUGAGACUUCCAUUUUAGAGCCUGAAUUAUCAGUAACAUAGGAAGAUAGAAGAGAAACCAGUACAAAAGAUCAAGAGACAAAGUACAAGAUUUGAAUGAGAUCUUGAAAAUGACCCAAGAAAAAAAUGAAAUGUUUGAAAGUGAGUGGUCAAAAGAGAGAGAGUGAGAGAAGCAGUUGUCAUCUGGUCCUGACACUGUAGAGAAGGCCUGGAAAGUUGAAAGUGAGGAAUUGCAAAAAUCGAAGUCAGAGCUUAUAUGCCUUUAUAAUGAAGUUCACAAUCUUCAAGGGGAAUCAGAAAGCAGAGACCAUUUUUUAAAAGCAUGUGACCUGUUACAAAGAGAGAAUUCUGAAUUAGAAACAAAG